This 615-nucleotide ribosomal RNA is filed under the name Triticum aestivum (bread wheat). Its description in RNAcentral is "partial small subunit ribosomal RNA". The record is from RNAcentral. Lineage: Eukaryota; Viridiplantae; Streptophyta; Magnoliopsida; Poales; Poaceae.
CUUCACAGUUUCAAUCUUGCUUUAUUAGCAAAAUAGUGUUAGCGACUAAUCCAAAACCCUAAUUCUUUAUGUGCACGUGUUUUAAGCGCAAAGUAUUAUCCAGAGGGUAAUAUUUUGAAGGCAGGUCCAAAGAAAGGUUCGUCGUUUACCUGGCAGAGUAUUGUGGCAGGUAUUCAAACAUUCAGAAGAGGGUGUAUAUGGCGUGUGGGUACAAGAGCGCAGAUAGAUAUAUGGCAGGACCCAUGGAUUCCAUCAAGCCCAUCGCAGAAAGUUAUUACCCCUCGAGGAUCAGUGAUGCUAAGAUACGUGGAGAAAUUGAUUGAUCCUCAUUAUGGCCAGUGGGAUGAAGCUUUAAUCCAAGACGCGUUCUCUCCAGUUGAUGCAUAUAGGAUCCUCCAAAUACCUCUAAAUGUUCAGGUGAUGGAGGACUUCAUAGCAUGGAAUUACAUGAGAGCAGGGAUCUUUUCGGUCCGGUCAGCUUAUCACAUAGAAUUUGAACACAUGUAUGGACAUCGUCUUGCUAGAUCUGAUGGUCAAGGAAAUGCCCAAGCUAACACAAUAUGGUAUGAAGUGCGGAAUCUUAAACUCCCUGGAAAGAUUAAGCAUUUUGCUUGA